GAUGAACGCUGGCGGCGUGCUUAACACAUGCAAGUCGAACGGGAAAUAUUUCAUUGAGACUUCGGUGGAUUUGAUCUAUUUCUAGUGGCGGACGGGUGAGUAACGCGUGGGUAACCUGCCUUAUACAGGGGGAUAACAGUCAGAAAUGGCUGCUAAUACCGCAUAAGCGCACAGAGCUGCAUGGCUCAGUGUGAAAAACUCCGGUGGUAUAAGAUGGACCCGCGUUGGAUUAGCUUGUUGGCGGGGUAACGGCCCACCAAGGCGACGAUCCAUAGCCGGCCUGAGAGGGUGAACGGCCACAUUGGGACUGAGACACGGCCCAGACUCCAACGGGAGGCAGCAGUGGGGAAUAUUGCACAAUGGGGGAAACCCUGAUGCAGCGACGCCGCGUGAAGGAAGAAGUAUCUCGGUAUGUAAACUUCUAUCAGCAGGGAAGAUAGUGACGGUACCUGACUAAGAAGCCCCGGCUAACUACGUGCCAGCAGCCGCGGUAAUACGUAGGGGGCAAGCGUUAUCCGGAUUUACUGGGUGUAAAGGGAGCGUAGACGGUGUGGCAAGUCUGAUGUGAAAGGCAUGGGCUCAACCUGUGGACUGCAUUGGAAACUGUCAUACUUGAGUGCCGGAGGGGUAAGCGGAAUUCCUAGUGUAGCGGUGAAAUGCGUAGAUAUUAGGAGGAACACCAGUGGCGAAGGCGGCUUACUGGACGGUAACUGACGUUGAGGCUCGAAAGCGUGGGGAGCAAACAGGAUUAGAUACCCUGGUAGUCCACGCCGUAAAC
RNAcentral lists this ribosomal RNA (778 nucleotides) under uncultured bacterium. RNAcentral's name for it is "bacterial SSU rRNA". It matches the Rfam family "Bacterial small subunit ribosomal RNA", at positions 28 to 807 of the family's 1533-position model. The record is from RNAcentral.